Molecule: non-coding RNA, 111 nt
Organism: Acanthosepion pharaonis
Lineage: Eukaryota; Metazoa; Mollusca; Cephalopoda; Sepiida; Sepiidae
Source: the annotation of a GenBank genome assembly
GACGCCCACAUCACGAUGAAACGAGUUCCCGAACGAUCGCCGAAGUUAAGCAACGUCGAGUCUAGUCAGUACCUAAAUGGGUGACCGCUUGGGAAAACCAGGGGCUGUAAG